RNAcentral lists this ribosomal RNA (1725 nucleotides) under Salmonella enterica. Its description in RNAcentral is "bacterial LSU rRNA". It matches the Rfam family "Bacterial large subunit ribosomal RNA", at positions 1223 to 2925 of the family's 2925-position model. Lineage: Bacteria; Pseudomonadati; Pseudomonadota; Gammaproteobacteria; Enterobacterales; Enterobacteriaceae. The record is from RNAcentral.
GUUGGGUAGGGGAGCGUUCUGUAAGCCUGUGAAGGUGGCCUGUGAGGGUUGCUGGAGGUAUCAGAAGUGCGAAUGCUGACAUAAGUAACGAUAAAGCGGGUGAAAAGCCCGCUCGCCGGAAGACCAAGGGUUCCUGUCCAACGUUAAUCGGGGCAGGGUGAGUCGACCCCUAAGGCGAGGCCGAAAGGCGUAGUCGAUGGGAAACAGGUUAAUAUUCCUGUACUUGGUGUUACUGCGAAGGGGGGACGGAGAAGGCUAUGUUGGCCGGGCGACGGUUGUCCCGGUUUAAGCGUGUAGGUGUGUGUUCCAGGUAAAUCCGGUUCACUUUAACACUGAGGCGUGAUGACGAGGCACUACGGUGCUGAAGCAACAAAUGCCCUGCUUCCAGGAAAAGCCUCUAAGCAUCAGGUAACAUCAAAUCGUACCCCAAACCGACACAGGUGGUCAGGUAGAGAAUACCAAGGCGCUUGAGAGAACUCGGGUGAAGGAACUAGGCAAAAUGGUGCCGUAACUUCGGGAGAAGGCACGCUGACACGUAGGUGAAGUGAUUUACUCAUGGAGCUGAAGUCAGUCGAAGAUACCAGCUGGCUGCAACUGUUUAUUAAAAACACAGCACUGUGCAAACACGAAAGUGGACGUAUACGGUGUGACGCCUGCCCGGUGCCGGAAGGUUAAUUGAUGGGGUCAGCGCAAGCGAAGCUCCUGAUCGAAGCCCCGGUAAACGGCGGCCGUAACUAUAACGGUCCUAAGGUAGCGAAAUUCCUUGUCGGGUAAGUUCCGACCUGCACGAAUGGCGUAAUGAUGGCCAGGCUGUCUCCACCCGAGACUCAGUGAAAUUGAACUCGCUGUGAAGAUGCAGUGUACCCGCGGCAAGACGGAAAGACCCCGUGAACCUUUACUAUAGCUUGACACUGAACAUUGAGCCUUGAUGUGUAGGAUAGGUGGGAGGCUUUGAAGCGUGGACGCCAGUCUGCGUGGAGCCGACCUUGAAAUACCACCCUUUAAUGUUUGAUGUUCUAACGUGGACCCGUAAUCCGGGUUGCGGACAGUGUCUGGUGGGUAGUUUGACUGGGGCGGUCUCCUCCUAAAGAGUAACGGAGGAGCACGAAGGUUGGCUAAUCCUGGUCGGACAUCAGGAGGUUAGUGCAAUGGCAUAAGCCAGCUUGACUGCGAGCGUGACGGCGCGAGCAGGUGCGAAAGCAGGUCAUAGUGAUCCGGUGGUUCUGAAUGGAAGGGCCAUCGCUCAACGGAUAAAAGGUACUCCGGGGAUAACAGGCUGAUACCGCCCAAGAGUUCAUAUCGACGGCGGUGUUUGGCACCUCGAUGUCGGCUCAUCACAUCCUGGGGCUGAAGUAGGUCCCAAGGGUAUGGCUGUUCGCCAUUUAAAGUGGUACGCGAGCUGGGUUUAGAACGUCGUGAGACAGUUCGGUCCCUAUCUGCCGUGGGCGCUGGAGAACUGAGGGGGGCUGCUCCUAGUACGAGAGGACCGGAGUGGACGCAUCACUGGUGUUCGGGUUGUCAUGCCAAUGGCACUGCCCGGUAGCUAAAUGCGGAAGAGAUAAGUGCUGAAAGCAUCUAAGCACGAAACUUGCCCCGAGAUGAGUUCUCCCUGAGACUUAGAGUCUCCUGAAGGAACGUUGAAGACGACGACGUUGAUAGGCCGGGUGUGUAAGCGCAGCGAUGCGUUGAGCUAACCGGUACUAAUGAACCGUGAGGCUUAACCUU